GAUGAACGCUAGCUACAGGCUUAACACAUGCAAGUCGAGGGGAAACGAUAUUGGAAGCUUGCUUCCGAUAGGCGUCGACCGGCGCACGGGUGAGUAACGCGUAUCCAACCUGCCCACCACUUGGGGAUAACCUUGCGAAAGUAAGACUAAUACCCAAUGACGUCCAUAGAAGACAUCUGAAAUGGAUUAAAGAUUUAUCGGUGAUGGAUGGGGAUGCGUCUGAUUAGCUUGUUGGCGGGGUAACGGCCCACCAAGGCGACGAUCAGUAGGGGUUCUGAGAGGAAGGUCCCCCACAUUGGAACUGAGACACGGUCCAAGCUCCUACGGGAGGCAGCAGUGAGGAAUAUUGGUCAAUGGGCGAGGGCCUGGACCAGCCAAGUAGCGUGCAGGAUGACGGCCCUAUGGGUUGUAAACUGCUUUUAUAAGGGAAUAAAGUGAGUCUCGUGAGGCUUUUUGCAUGUACCUUAUGAAUAAGGACCGGCUAAUUCCGUGCCAGCCGCCGCCGUAA
Molecule: ribosomal RNA, 508 nt
Filed under: uncultured bacterium
Lineage: Bacteria
Description: partial 16S ribosomal RNA
Rfam family: Bacterial small subunit ribosomal RNA
Source: RNAcentral